CGUAGGGACGCAGGGGGCGCUCCUCGCGCCGCGCAUGCGCGCUGGAGCUGCUGCGGUCCUGCCCCUCUGGUCAAGUCAGAGGCGGGUCUUGCAGCCCUGACGCUUUGGUUAUGCGGAGGGUGGUUUUGUGCAGGUGACAGCUUUUCGGCCUGCCUUCCACAUACGAACUCUCGAUAACUUUCAAGAGCCAGGUGAGAAGAGGGCAGUGUUAUACUAGGAGAAGCCACUUGGAGAUAAUGCCAGGUGCUUUUCGGUGUGAUUUGCAGGAAAUUCUCCCACCAGAGACCCGUGUUAUGCCUGGCAUACAGGAGGCAUUCAGAACAUUUGAUGACUAGAAGUGUGUGUCUAUCUCAAUGACACAGGUCUCUAAAACCCUUGCUGACAGUGUUUGGACCAAGAGGCUGGCAGCUAUGAUGGGAGCUCUGGUAGAAGAGAUCCCUGUCCCAAUACCAUUGUCCCAUGUUUCCUGGCUCUCCACCGGCAGAAGCCUUAAACAUUGAGCAACAUUUUGGCUUGGAGAAAAACUAAGUGCAUACUUGCCUAUAUUCCAAAACCAAGAUGACGUAUACUUCCAAUUGAACAGAUGUGGUCAGCCGUUGAUUGGACCCAGAAGAGAAGAAAUUAAAAGCAUCCAAAACAACACUAAGUAGGAAAUAG
Molecule: long non-coding RNA, 657 nt
Filed under: Canis lupus dingo (dingo)
Lineage: Eukaryota; Metazoa; Chordata; Mammalia; Carnivora; Canidae
Description: lncRNA (ENSCAFG00020004150.1)
Source: RNAcentral